AACGCGAAGAACCUUACCUGGGCUCGAACGGCCGGUUAACGAUCGUGGAAACAUGGUUACUCCGCAAGGAGGUCCGGUCGAGGUGCUGCAUGGCUGUCGUCAGCUCGUGUCGUGAGAUGUUGGGUUAAGUCCCGCAACGAGCGCAACCCUUGUCCUGUGUUGCCAUUCCGCAAGGAGGAACUCGCAGGAGACCGCCAGCGAUAAGCUGGAGGAAGGUGGGGAUGACGUCAAGUCCUCAUGGCCUUUAUGUCCAGGGCUACACACGUGCUACAAUGGCCGGUACAAAGCGUCGCUAAGUCGCGAGACGGAGCCAAUCGCAAAAAACCGGUCUCAGUUCGGAUUGCAGGCUGCAACUCGCCUGCAUGAAGCUGGAAUCGCUAGUAAUGGCGUAUCAGAACGAUGCCGUGAAUACGUUCCCGGGUCUUGUACACACGC
Molecule: ribosomal RNA, 435 nt
Filed under: uncultured Acidobacteriota bacterium
Lineage: Bacteria; Pseudomonadati; Acidobacteriota
Description: bacterial SSU rRNA
Rfam family: Bacterial small subunit ribosomal RNA
Source: RNAcentral